GUCUGUAUGUAGUUAUAUAGAGUCUAGCCUGCCCAGUGAAUUUUGUUUUAAAGGCCGCAGUAAUUUGACUGUGCAAAGGUAGCAUAAUAAUUAGUUUUUUAAUUGAAGGCUUGUAUGAAUGGUUGGACAAAGAAAACCCUGUCUUUUUUGUUAUGUUUGAAUUUUACAUUUAAGUGAAAAGGCUUAAAUAAAUUUAAGGGACGAUAAGACCCUAUAAAUCUUUACAUUGAAUUAAAUUUUUUUAUAGUUUUUAUAGAGUUUAAUAAUGUUAUGUUGGGGCAACAGAAAUAAAGAAGGAAACUGUUUUAUAAAAUAAACAUUUAUAUAUGAACAAGAUAAAAGAUCCUUUAAAAAGAUUAAAAGUUUAAGUUACUUUAGGGAUAACAGCGUUAUUUUUUUUGAAAGUUCUUAUUGAAAAAAAAGUUUGCGACCUCGAUGUUGAAUUAAAAUUUCUCUAUGGUGCAGAAGUUAUAAGAGAGAGUCUGUUCGACUUUUAAAAUUUU
RNAcentral lists this ribosomal RNA (503 nucleotides) under Leiogalathea agassizii. Its description in RNAcentral is "partial 16S large subunit ribosomal RNA". It matches the Rfam family "Bacterial large subunit ribosomal RNA", at positions 1831 to 2597 of the family's 2925-position model. The record is from RNAcentral. Lineage: Eukaryota; Metazoa; Arthropoda; Malacostraca; Decapoda; Munidopsidae.